Cucumis melo (muskmelon) is the source of this 681-nucleotide long non-coding RNA. RefSeq lists it as uncharacterized. The record is from RefSeq and is a predicted model, not a curated record. The transcript is spliced from 3 exons. NCBI's taxonomy places the organism in Eukaryota, Viridiplantae, Streptophyta, Magnoliopsida, Cucurbitales, Cucurbitaceae.
CCCUCAUUUUCUAAAACAUUUGCACGCAAUCCUCCCCAAAUUUCUUCUUUCUUCAACUCCUUUCUGUCCUGUUUCAACCCCAAAUUUCUUACUUGUCGUUGCGAUGUUCCUCUUCUUCAUUAGUAGCGCAGCAACAUGAGAGUUCCUUUUCCCUUCUCUUUUCUUUCGCGUAGAACACCUGAAGCUACUUCGGCCAUUCGUCGCUUGCCCUUCGUCGGUCGUCCAAUGCAUUUCGUCGCUCCUCUUCGAACCAUUCAAUCAACUUGGAGCGUUUUCUCUUAUUUUGGAACUAAAAAACUUAAGGUAGUUUAAGGAUGACACACGUUCGGAUUUUAGUGCGUUACCGUGGUGCAUGGGAUGAGAAACGAAGAAAAUAUGAAGGAGGAUUGUUAAAAGGCAUCGUUAUCAGUAAAGAAAUAACACACAAAGAUUUACAAGAUGAAUUAUAUGACCUUGUAGAAGUUGACCCUACAAAGUUCGACAUAAAGAUAAGAUGUAUAUAUAUGAGAUGAAAGGAGAAAAGGAAGCUCCUCCAUUUGAGUUAAGUAAUGAACGUGUCACACCCCCUCCCGGACUACCUGCUACCUUAGACCGAAAGAUGGCGUGAAGCGACGAACAACGUUAUUCUGUACCUGUAUCUGUCGACUCUUCUUAAAAAUUUCAUGUGAUGAACUUGCCAAU